Molecule: transfer RNA, 75 nt
Filed under: Promethearchaeota archaeon
Lineage: Archaea; Promethearchaeati; Promethearchaeota
Also listed under: 6 other names
Description: tRNA-Cys
Rfam family: tRNA
About the family: Transfer RNA (tRNA) molecules are approximately 80 nucleotides in length.
Source: RNAcentral
GCCGAGGUGGCGGAGUGGCCACGCGACAGCCUGCAGAGCUGUUCUAUGUGGGUUCAAAUCCCACCCUCGGCUCCA